GCAAGCGUUAUCCGGAUUUAUUGGGUUUAAAGGGUCCGUAGGCGGACUCGUAAGUCAGUGGUGAAAUCUCAUAGCUCAACUAUGAAACUGCCAUUGAUACUGCGGGUCUUGAGUAAGGUAGAAGUGGCUGGAAUAAGUAGUGUAGCGGUGAAAUGCAUAGAUAUUACUUAGAACACCAAUUGCGAAGGCAGGUCACUAUGUCUUAACUGACGCUGAUGGACGAAAGCGUGGGGAGCGAACAGGAUUAGAUACCCUGGUAGUCCACGCCGUAAACGAUGCUAACUCGUUUUUGGGGCUUUGGCUUCAGAGACUAAGCGAAAGUGAUAAGUUAGCCACCUGGGGAGUACGUUCGCAAGAAUGAAACUCAAAGGAAUUGACGGGGGCCCGCACAAGCGGUGGAUUAUGUGGUUUAAUUCGAUGAUACGCGAGGAACCUUACCAAGGCUUAAAUGGGAAUUGAUGGGUUUAGAAAUAGACCGUCCUUCGGGCAAUUUUCAAGGUGCUGCAUGGUUGUCGUCAGCUCGUGCCGUGAGGUGUUAGGUUAAGUCCUGCAACGAGCGCAACCCCUGUUACUAGUUGCUACCAUUAAGUUGAGGACUCUAGUAAGACUGCCUACGCAAGUAGAGAGGAAGGUGGGGAUGACGUCAAAUCAUCACGGCCCUUACGCCUUGGGCCACACACGUAAUACAAUGGCCGGUACAGAGGGCAGCUACACAGCGAUGUGAUGCGAAUCUCGAAAGCCGGUCUCAGUUCGGAUUGGAGUCUGCAACUCGACUCUAUGAAGCUGGAAUCGCUAGUAAUCGCGCAUCAGCCAUGGCGCGGUGAAUACGUUCCCGGGCCUUGUACACACCGCCCGUCAAGCCAUGGAAGUCUGGGGUACCUGAAGUCGGUGACCGUAACAGGAGCUGCCUAGGGUAAAACAGGUAACUAGGGCUAAGUCGUAACAAGGUAGCCGUACCGGAAGGUGCGGCUG
RNAcentral lists this ribosomal RNA (972 nucleotides) under Chryseobacterium gregarium DSM 19109. RNAcentral's name for it is "bacterial SSU rRNA". It matches the Rfam family "Bacterial small subunit ribosomal RNA", at positions 534 to 1520 of the family's 1533-position model. The record is from RNAcentral. Lineage: Bacteria; Pseudomonadati; Bacteroidota; Flavobacteriia; Flavobacteriales; Weeksellaceae.